RNAcentral lists this ribosomal RNA (1460 nucleotides) under Enterococcus hirae. Its description in RNAcentral is "bacterial SSU rRNA". It matches the Rfam family "Bacterial small subunit ribosomal RNA". The record is from RNAcentral. Lineage: Bacteria; Bacillati; Bacillota; Bacilli; Lactobacillales; Enterococcaceae.
GGCAGGGGGGAGCUAUAAUGCAGUCGACGCUUCUUUUUCCACCGGAGCUUGCUCCACCGGAAAAAGAGGAGUGGCGAACGGGUGAGUAACACGUGGGUAACCUGCCCAUCAGAAGGGGAUAACACUUGGAAACAGGUGCUAAUACCGUAUAACAAUCGAAACCGCAUGGUUUUGAUUUGAAAGGCGCUUUCGGGUGUCGCUGAUGGAUGGACCCGCGGUGCAUUAGCUAGUUGGUGAGGUAACGGCUCACCAAGGCGACGAUGCAUAGCCGACCUGAGAGGGUGAUCGGCCACAUUGGGACUGAGACACGGCCCAAACUCCUACGGGAGGCAGCAGUAGGGAAUCUUCGGCAAUGGACGAAAGUCUGACCGAGCAACGCCGCGUGAGUGAAGAAGGUUUUCGGAUCGUAAAACCUCUGUUGUUUAGAGAAGAACAAGGAUGAGAGUAACUGUUCAUCCCUUGACGGUAUCUAACCAGAAAGCCACGGCUAACUACGUGCCAGCAGCCGCGGUAAUACGUAGGUGGCAAGCGUUGUCCGGAUUUAUUGGGCGUAAAGCGAGCGCAGGCGGUUUCUUAAGUCUGAUGUGAAAGCCCCCGGCUCAACCGGGGAGGGUCAUUGGAAACUGGGAGACUUGAGUGCAGAAGAGGAGAGUGGAAUUCCAUGUGUAGCGGUGAAAUGCGUAGAUAUAUGGAGGAACACCAGUGGCGAAGGCGGCUCUCUGGUCUGUAACUGACGCUGAGGCUCGAAAGCGUGGGGAGCAAACAGGAUUAGAUACCCUGGUAGUCCACGCCGUAAACGAUGAGUGCUAAGUGUUGGAGGGUUUCCGCCCUUCAGUGCUGCAGCUAACGCAUUAAGCACUCCGCCUGGGGAGUACGACCGCAAGGUUGAAACUCAAAGGAAUUGACGGGGCCCGCACAAGCGGUGGAGCAUGUGGUUUAAUUCGAAGCAACGCGAAGAACCUUACCAGGUCUUGACAUCCUUUGACCACUCUAGAGAUAGAGCUUCCCCUUCGGGGGCAAAGUGACAGGUGGGUGCAUGGGUUGUCGUCAGCUCGUGUCGUGAGAUGUUGGGUUAAGUCCCGCAACGAGCGCAACCCUUAUUGUUAGUUGCCAUCAUUUAGUUGGGCACUCUAGCAAGACUGCCGGUGACAAACCGGAGGAAGGUGGGGAUGACGUCAAAUCAUCAUGCCCCUUAUGACCUGGGCUACACACGUGCUACAAUGGGAAGUACAACGAGUCGCAAAGUCGCGAGGCUAAGCUAAUCUCUUAAAGCUUCUCUCAGUUCGGAUUGUAGGCUGCAACUCGCCUACAUGAAGCCGGAAUCGCUAGUAAUCGCGGAUCAGCACGCCGCGGUGAAUACGUUCCCGGGCCUUGUACACACCGCCCGUCACACCACGAGAGUUUGUAACACCCGAAGUCGGUGAGGUAACCUUUGGAGCCAGCCGCCUAAGUGAAUGAGU